UACAGAGGUCUCAACCGUUGUUCGGAUUCAUUGGGCGUAAAGGGUGCGUAGGCGGUCGCGCAAGUCGGAUGUGAAAUCUCAGGGCUCAACCCUGAAACUGCAUUCGAUACUGCGUGGCUAGAGUGCUGGAGAGGAGACUGGAAUUCCUGGUGUAGCGGUGAAAUGCGCAGAUAUCAGGAGGAACACCGGUGGCGAAGGCGGCGACCUGGUCCGGGACUGACGCUGGAGGCGACGAAAGCGUGGGGGAGCAAACAGG
Molecule: ribosomal RNA, 256 nt
Filed under: uncultured bacterium
Lineage: Bacteria
Description: partial 16S ribosomal RNA
Rfam family: Bacterial small subunit ribosomal RNA
Source: RNAcentral